GACGAACGCUGGCGGCGUGCUUAACACAUGCAAGUCGAACGGAAAGGCCCUGCUUUUGUGGGGUGCUCGAGUGGCGAACGGGUGAGUAACAAGUGAGUAACCUGCCCUUGACUUUGGGAUAACUUCAGGAAACUGGGGCUAAUACCGGAUAGGAGCUCCUGCUGCAUGGUGGGGGUUGGAAAGUUUCGGCGGUUGGGGAUGGACUCGCGGCUUAUCAGCUUGUUGGUGGGGUAGUGGCUUACCAAGGCUUUGACGGGUAGCCGGCCUGAGAGGGUGACCGGCCACAUUGGGACUGAGAUACGGCCCAGACUGCUACGGGGGGCAGCAGUGGGGAAUAUUGCACAAUGGGCGGGAGCCUGAUGCAGCAACGCCGCGGGCGGGAUGACGGCCUUCGGGUUGUAAACCGCUUUCGCCUGUGACGAAGCGUGAGUGACGGUAAUGGGUAAAGAAGCACCGGCUAACUACGUG
This 468-nucleotide ribosomal RNA is filed under the name uncultured bacterium. RNAcentral describes it as "partial 16S ribosomal RNA". It matches the Rfam family "Bacterial small subunit ribosomal RNA", at positions 28 to 507 of the family's 1533-position model. The record is from RNAcentral.